GAAAAUCCGUCGACUUUAGAAAUCGUGAGGGUUCAAGUC
RNAcentral lists this transfer RNA (39 nucleotides) under Goeppertia leonia. RNAcentral describes it as "partial tRNA-Leu". RNAcentral also lists the same sequence under 3 other names. Lineage: Eukaryota; Viridiplantae; Streptophyta; Magnoliopsida; Zingiberales; Marantaceae. The record is from RNAcentral.